RNAcentral lists this transfer RNA (73 nucleotides) under Capillimicrobium parvum. RNAcentral describes it as "tRNA-Gln". It matches the Rfam family "tRNA". Rfam says of the family: Transfer RNA (tRNA) molecules are approximately 80 nucleotides in length. The record is from RNAcentral. Lineage: Bacteria; Bacillati; Actinomycetota; Thermoleophilia; Solirubrobacterales; Capillimicrobiaceae.
UGCGGGGUCGUCUAACUGGUAGGACGGGAGGUUUUGGUCCUCCAAGACGAGGUUCGAGUCCUCGCCCCGCAGC